CUGAACCAGCCAAGUAGCGUGAAGGAUGACUGCCCUAUGGGUUGUAAACUUCUUUUAUAAAGGAAUAAAAUCGGGUAUGCAUACCCGUUUGCAUGUACUUUAUGAAUAAGGAUCGGCUAACUCCGUGCCAGCAGCCGCGGUAAUACGGAGGAUCCGAGCGUUAUCCGGAUUUAUUGGGUUUAAAGGGAGCGUAGAUGGAUGUUUAAGUCAGUUGUGAAAGUUUGCGG
RNAcentral lists this ribosomal RNA (227 nucleotides) under uncultured bacterium. RNAcentral describes it as "partial 16S ribosomal RNA". It matches the Rfam family "Bacterial small subunit ribosomal RNA", at positions 383 to 607 of the family's 1533-position model. The record is from RNAcentral.